AGUCCAUGGUGAGGACACCUUUGCAAUAGGUCCUUGUAUCCCUCCCAUGCAUUGUAAAGAGUUUCUAAGUCCAUCUGCACAAACGAAGAGAUAUCAUUAUGUAAUU
RNAcentral lists this small nucleolar RNA (106 nucleotides) under Gossypium arboreum. RNAcentral's name for it is "Plant small nucleolar RNA R71". It matches the Rfam family "Plant small nucleolar RNA R71". From Rfam's summary of the family: R71 is a member of the C/D box family of snoRNAs containing the C (UGAUGA) and D (CUGA) box motifs. Multiple nearly identical copies of this snoRNA have been identified in Arabidopsis, and it is thought to function as a 2'-O-ribose methylation guide for 18S ribosomal RNA. Lineage: Eukaryota; Viridiplantae; Streptophyta; Magnoliopsida; Malvales; Malvaceae. The record is from Rfam by way of RNAcentral.